GACGAACGCUGGCGGCGUGCUUAACACAUGCAAGUCGAACGGAAAGGCCCUGCUUUUGUGGGGUGCUCGAGUGGCGAACGGGUGAGUAACACGUGAGUAACCUGCCCUUGACUUUGGGAUAACUUCAGGAAACUGGGGCUAAUACCGGAUAGGAGCUCCUGCUGCAUGGUGGGGGUUGGAAAGUUUCGGCUGUUGGGGAUGGACUCGCGGCUUAUCAGCUUGUUGGUGGGGUAGUGGCUUACCAAGGCUUUGACGGGUAGCCGGCCUGAGAGGGUGACCGGCCACAUUGGGACUGAGAUACGGCCCAGACUCCUACGGGAGGCAGCAGUGGGGAAUAUUGCACAAUGGGCGGAAGCCUGAUGCAGCAACGCCGCGUGCGGGAUGACGGCCUUCGGGUUGUAAACCGCUUUCGCCUGUGACGAAGCGUGAGUGACGGUAAUGGGUAAAGAAGCACCGGCUAACUACGUG
This 468-nucleotide ribosomal RNA is filed under the name uncultured bacterium. Its description in RNAcentral is "partial 16S ribosomal RNA". It matches the Rfam family "Bacterial small subunit ribosomal RNA", at positions 28 to 507 of the family's 1533-position model. The record is from RNAcentral.